UCCCGCUUAGCUCAGUUGGUAGAGCGCGUCACUAGUAACCGCUACAUGGUUAAUGACGAGGUCAGUCGUUCGAGUCGGCUAGUGGGAA
Molecule: transfer RNA, 88 nt
Filed under: Trametes coccinea BRFM310
Lineage: Eukaryota; Fungi; Basidiomycota; Agaricomycetes; Polyporales; Polyporaceae
Description: Trametes coccinea (strain BRFM310) tRNA
Rfam family: tRNA
About the family: Transfer RNA (tRNA) molecules are approximately 80 nucleotides in length. Their secondary structure includes four short double-helical elements and three loops (D, anti-codon, and T loops). Further hydrogen bonds mediate the characteristic L-shaped molecular structure. tRNAs have two regions of fundamental functional importance: the anti-codon, which is responsible for specific mRNA codon recognition, and the 3' end, to which the tRNAs corresponding amino acid is attached (by aminoacyl-tRNA synthetases). tRNAs cope with the degeneracy of the genetic code in two manners: having more than one tRNA (with a specific anti-codon) for a particular amino acid; and 'wobble' base-pairing, i.e. permitting non-standard base-pairing at the 3rd anti-codon position.
Source: Rfam by way of RNAcentral